CUGACAUGUGUGCGAGUUAACAGGCAAGUAAACCCGUAAGGCGCAAGGAAGCUGACUGGUGGGAUCCCCUAGUGGGUUGCACCACCGGUCUACCUUGAUCUUCUUAGAAGGAUUCGAGUGUGAGCAUGUCUAUCGAAACCCGAAAGAUGGUGAACUAUGCCUGAGCAGGGUAAAGUCAAAGGAAACUCUGGUGGAGACCCGUAGCAAUAGCAAUACUGAUGUGCAAAUCGUUCGUCUUAGAGAGUACUCUUAACCUUAACCAUGAAUAACUCUUAUCUUAUUAAUUUAACCUUCUCUUAG
Molecule: non-coding RNA, 300 nt
Filed under: Cucumis melo (muskmelon)
Lineage: Eukaryota; Viridiplantae; Streptophyta; Magnoliopsida; Cucurbitales; Cucurbitaceae
Also listed under: 1 other name
Description: Eukaryotic large subunit ribosomal RNA
Rfam family: Eukaryotic large subunit ribosomal RNA
Source: Rfam by way of RNAcentral